UUCACAAAAAUUAAAGGGAAGAAUGGCAUUGCAAUGAGGUUUAGAUAAGUUAGAAAUGAAACCACGCAGUGUUCUGCAGGGCCUGUUAGCAUUUGACAUUUAUCUGAAGAAUAGAAAGUAGUAAAUGUGUCUGGUCUUAGUCUAGACUAAGAUCAAGAUCAAUCCAGAGUAAUCAUAUAUUCAAUUGAACAUUUUAUAUUUUAUAUUAAAUUAGAAAGCUGAUGUAGGACUAUUGGUUAGAAAUGAAAGAGAGGUAGGAGACAUUGAUUCAAUUGGAGACAGUGUGAUGCUCAGAUACAAAAAUUUUAGAGAACCAGAUUGAAAUUUCUGCUAUCACUUUCAUUAUUUCUGUGAUGGUAAAUAAGUCAUUUAACAUCUCCAAGCUUCAGUUUCUUAAUUGUAAAACAGUAAUAAUAAUAGCACCUCUCUGACACAAGGUUGUUAAAUAUAAGUAUAAAUACAUGUAACAGGAAUUGAAUGAUAUAGUUUUGCAAUGGUCCCGCCCCUAAAAUCAUAAAGCUGAAGACAAUAUAUACCAUUUUCCCAGUAAUCUAUGUUAUCAUUAUCUACUUUACCCCACGUCCUUUAUGUUUUCAGGGCUUUUCCUGCAUUUCUACUUACAGCACUUUCAGUUUCUUUCUUCUUUCUUUUGUAGAAUUUCUUCUUUCUGCCUAUCUUUUU
Molecule: long non-coding RNA, 681 nt
Filed under: Pan troglodytes (chimpanzee)
Lineage: Eukaryota; Metazoa; Chordata; Mammalia; Primates; Hominidae
Description: long non-coding RNA NONPTRT013070
Source: RNAcentral